RNAcentral lists this ribosomal RNA (1304 nucleotides) under Hamiltosporidium magnivora. RNAcentral's name for it is "Neoflabelliforma magnivora Microsporidia small subunit ribosomal RNA". It matches the Rfam family "Microsporidia small subunit ribosomal RNA". Lineage: Eukaryota; Fungi; Microsporidia; Dubosqiidae. The record is from Rfam by way of RNAcentral.
CACCAGGUUGAUUCUGCCUGACGAGGAUGCUUGUCUCUGGGAUUAAGCCAUGCAAGUCUGGUGAAGCGAAAGUGGAACUGCGAACGGCUCAGUAGAACGGUGAUUAUUUAAUCGUGUAGGAAGGAUAACCGCGGGAAACUGUGGCUAAUAACACGAGUAAGACGCCGACCCAUCAGUUUUAUCGUACGGUAAGGGCGUACGAUGGCUUUAACGGGUACGGGGGAUCAGGGUUUGAUUCCGGAGAGGGAGCCUGAGAAACGGCUACCAGGUCUAAGGACAGCAGCAGGCGCGAAACUUGCCCAAUUGGAGAGAGGCAGUUAUGAGACGUAUAUUUUGUAACCGGGGUAGAAUACCGGUGAUUGACUGGAGGGCAAGUCUGGUGCCAGCAGCCGCGGUAAUUCCAGCUCCAGGAGUGUCAUAGUGCAUUGCUGCAUUUAAAAGGUCCGUAGUCAGUGUUGACAGGGAUGCUAGAAGACACUUUCUUCAUGGAGUGUAUUGGCAUUCUAGGUUAGCAUGUGAGAGCGGAAGAGGGCGACUGUAUUGCGUAGCGAGAGGUGAAAGUUGACGACCUACGUAGGACAAACCGAAGCGAAAGCUGUCGUCCAGUACGUAGCCGGUGAUCAAGGACGUAAGCCGGASGAGCAAAGGUGAUUAAAGACCCCUGUAGUUCCGGCCGUAAACUAUGCCAACUGGGUGUUACGUAGUGGUACCCACGAGAAAUCAAGUAUAUGGGCUAUGGGGAUAGUNCGAUCGCAAGAUUGAAACUUGAAGAAGUUGACGGAAGGACACCACCAGGAGUGGAAUGUGCGGCUUAAUUUGACUCAACGCGGGCACAACUUAUCAGGGCCAGUUGUAUGACGAAUCUAUGAUGAAUACGACUAAGUGGUGCAUGGCCGUUCACAACAUAUGAGGCGACUUUUAGGUUUAUUGCUGUAAUGUGUGAGACCCUCAGCUACGGCGACUGGGGACUAUAAGUUUCAGGAAGGAGGGGGCUAUAACAGGUCUGUGAUGCCCUUAGAUGUUCUGGGCUGCACGCGCACUACAAUGUUAUUUCUAGGUAUAUUGUAAAGAUAAAGGAUAACUCGGUUGGGAUUGCGUUCUGUAAUGGACGCAUGAACCAGGAAUUCCUAGUAGUCGCGUGUCACUAACGGGCGACGACUGCGUCCCUGUUCUUUGUACACACCGCCCGUCGUUAUCUAAGAUGGUGCUAUGUUCGAAGAGGGUUUUCCUUCUGAGGACGUAGGAUUAGAUUGGAUACAAGUCGUAACAAGGUUGCUGUAGGAGAACCAGCAGCAGGAUCAUAA